Seriola aureovittata is the source of this 3462-nucleotide long non-coding RNA. RefSeq lists it as uncharacterized. The transcript is spliced from 3 exons. NCBI's taxonomy places the organism in Eukaryota, Metazoa, Chordata, Actinopteri, Carangiformes, Carangidae. The record is from RefSeq and is a predicted model, not a curated record.
AAAAGAUGUGUGUGAAAUAUAAAAACAUAGCUAACUUACAGCUUCACUGUUGUAUGCCUGUCCACAUAUAAUAAAAGCAUUACACAUGAAGAACGCAGCAGUCAGUGCGUUGCAGGUUUGAUGCAGUUAUUGCAAGCAAAGGUUAUACAACCAAAUGGUAUAUGUUGUUUAUCUUAAAUUACUUUAAGACAAUGCUAUGUCUAGGUAUUUUACACAUCUACAUGUAGCUUAAUACCAAGAAAUAAAAGUUGAAAUUCUGAACUCUUGUCUCAUAUUUCUCUUUUGAUCUUAAACCUAAAUGUCCAGUAGUUUCGGAGGGUGAGUGACAACAGGGAAGGUCAAAAAGUACCUGUCUGUUUUGAACUUGGGCAGGUGAUCCAUAUGCAAAAUUAAGGGAACUAAACAAAUUAACUUCCUGUUUUGUGUCUCGAUCUAAGGUUGAACCAACAGCAGUAAAAAGUUUACAGCUCUAAUGCAGAAGACGUAACACAGAACUCUCUCCACCACCUUUCACAGUUUAAUAUUAGUUAAUCUCUUCUUUUCCCCAGAUAAUAUGUCUUUACCUCAACGUGGACAACCAGGAAAACAGGACAACCGACUUUAUCAAGAUUUGGACUUGGGCUUUGACAAAAAGAGGUGAGCUUUUUCCGACCUUUCCAGCAGAAUAAAAGUGUCUCAUCAGGUGCAUCGUGAAUACCUAGUUGGAAACCUGCUUAAAGUUAGUAGCUUUAGUAGUUUUUUAAGAGUGAGAGAAGUACUUUUAUAUUUUUCAGAGUAAAUGUUAUUUUAAAAAUAAAUUAUGUUUUAUUCUAUAUAUUCUAAAUAGUCUGACACAAAUGACAAACACUUUUUUUAAAAAAUGACCAAGUGCAAAGAAAGCGAUUCAUGCAAUUAUCUGAAUAGCAUUUUGACAUGCGCAACAUUGCUGGACAUAUAUUAAUAUAAUACGUAACACUAAUUUGACGUAACCGCGCACAGGACGUAUUUUACCUUUGAGAAGAAGUAAUGGCGGGCUCUGAUGAAACCCAUGUAAGUUUUCACAUUUUAGGCUGGAGUGAAAGAAACCUGUCCAAGUGCUUGGUAAAGUAUACUGAAGUGCUGCAGUUUUGGAAGUUUGUAUUUGGACCUGGGUUGACUUGGUGAAUUGUCUGAAUCACUCUAGUGUGCUUGUUCCCAGUCGUGACUGCGUGACUUUGAGUCCAUGCGCCAUUAUGGCAAAACGCGGUCCUACAGACUCCGACUGUAGCUGGAACUACCACAGUGGCACGUCUGAGGACUUUGGCAGGAGCGUAUAUGUCUGUCUGUCUCAGCAAUAGCAUCACAAGAUACAGACACAAAAUUUUACAGGUGCAGUUAGGUUGAGAUCAAAGUGUGGAGAUUUGUGCAGUCUCACCCAUGAGUACCGAACGUUCGUGUAAUAACGUAGUAAUGACAGCUGAGUAUUGUUGUUGAGUAUUGUUAGCAUGUAGUAGAGAAAUUUAAGCUCACUGCAGUUAAAGUGGUACAGUUUAGUAUUUGUAACAGGGUCAAUAAAUGCUACACUUGAUUUUCAUAAAACAUUUUUGAUUACAUUGCAGAUUUCUAUUCAGUGUGUGGACAAUCCUGUUGGAUGUCCUGGUGUAAUCGUCUAUGACGAUGAAACAUUUCCCAUUUCUUUCCAACAGGAUACCACACAGGGGGCUGCCUGCCGCGAUGGAGAAGGCCCUCACAGUUCUAUGAGAGUUUCCCAAUGGCCCAGUAAUGAAGCUAAAGAGGACAUUACUCUGUCGAGCGAUUCUCCAGAGACCAAGAGGGAUUCAAACUGCUGGUAAAUAAAAUUAAAUCUAAACUUUGAUUUUGUUGCUCACCUUGGUGAAAACGGAUUACUCACUUAUAAACUUUUUUAGAAGAAAUAUAAAUGAAGCUCCUCUAGUUUUCUUCUUUUAGUGUUGUGAUAGCAUGAUAUUUGCUGUAAAACACUGAUUGUAAAUGAACCAUGAACCAUGUAAACCCUAUAAAUGAAAGAUUUGUUGAAGUGUUAUAAUCUGGUAGUUGACAGUAAUUAUUUGUGCUGAAUGAUUGAGCUGAUUUAUAUUCUCUGUGCUCAACGUCAAGAUGAUUUCCAAGGGAGGCUAAAGCUGAUAAACACUUCCACUAAUACUUCUUGGCUACACACCUUACGUUCGCCUUUCGCUCACUACAAACAUUUGAAUCAUCUUUUUGUCCCCUUCAGCUAUUACGUGCUUUAACUUCAUGUUUUGUUUGAUCUCUACUACUUGCAGAUUUUUCAAAUUUUCCUCCUUUUUCUAAUGUUUUGACGUUCGGCUUGUGCUUUCUUAAGCUGCAGUUUGCAGUAAUGUGGUGGCACCUGACUCAACCACUGAGGAAGACGUCCCCUCGGAGGGAAGACCAGCAGGAAUGAGAGAACCCACACUCUGGCUACGUAUUGCAGUACUAUCACAGACUGCUGAUUAAUCAUUAAUAACCACUGUCAAUACAAUAAUAGGAAUGGUUGUGUAAUACAUGUGGAUUUGCAACAGUUACACCUUUUAAAAACUGUAAAAUAUGAAUAGAUUUACAGACUUUACCAUUAUGAUCUUCUCUUGCACAAAGACGUAAAAUGCUUAAGAGACUCUGUGCCUGUGACCACGGGGUGCUGUACAUUUUAGCGCUCUUGCAAUGUCCAUUGUGGUAUUAGUUAGUAGUUUCAGUUGUUUAGUUUUAAAACACCACUCAGAUAGAUGGUUUAGACUUACUGUAAUUUUGUUAUGCGUGGUUCACCAUUUUGGCAGUUUGUUAUCAUUAAAAGCAAGAACCAUGAAAGUCAUGUCGGCCUUGUUUUUACUGUGCGUAUAAUUUAUAAAGUAAAUCUUUUUUGUGACUUUGUCCUGAAAUAAAAGGGAAAUGACACUUUGUAAAUAUAGGAAUAUUAUAUUAUGUAAAAUGAAGCAAAUGUAAGUUUGCCAAGAGAGAUUUUAUCCAGAGGGAUUUUCUGCCGCAGAUUAAAUUAAACAGGUUGUUUAAUUCAGCAUUAAUGCCACUGGGUGAAUUAAGUGGGCAGACGCCUUCCUUUAGUAUUCCAGUUGUUUUAAAUACUUGCCUAACAAUCUUUCCCUUGAUACAUUAAACACAACUAUAAUGAAGUCUUAAAAGACUCGGAGAAUUAAAGAGAUGGGGUACAUUCCUCAUCUACUCCCUUUCAGUCCAGACCUCCAGUUAUUCAGACUAAUCUACUGUUUUGUGUAUAUUUUAUCAGUUCAAUGAUACCUCUAGCUCCACCAGGUGGCCACUGGAAGAAUUUGUUAUCAGCACUUUUAUAUGGAAAAAGGAAAAAAUCCAUAAUCAAAGCUUCUACCUCGCAAAGACAUGACACUCUGUUUUGCUCUGCGCUCACUUCCUACCUGGUUGAAUCCAGAACCUCGUGCGUCAUGGCGCCCCAUGGAAGAACAAUUAAAUGUUUAUCUAAAAACACAGAUCAUUAGA